This 465-nucleotide ribosomal RNA is filed under the name uncultured Dialister sp. Its description in RNAcentral is "bacterial SSU rRNA". It matches the Rfam family "Bacterial small subunit ribosomal RNA", at positions 338 to 795 of the family's 1533-position model. Lineage: Bacteria; Bacillati; Bacillota; Negativicutes; Veillonellales; Veillonellaceae. The record is from RNAcentral.
CCUACGGGAGGCAGCAGUGGGGAAUCUUCCGCAAUGGGCGAAAGCCUGACGGAGCAACGCCGCGUGAGUGAUGACGGCCUUCGGGUUGUAAAACUCUGUGAUCCGGGACGAAAAGGCAGAGUGCGAAGAACAAACUGCAUUGACGGUACCGGAAAAGCAAGCCACGGCUAACUACGGGCCAGAAGCCGCGGUAAUACGUAGGUGGCAAGCGUUGUCCGGAAUUCUUGGGCGUAAAGCGCGCGCAGGCGGCUUCCCAAGUCCCUCUUAAAAGUGCGGGGCUUAACCCCGUGAUGGGAAGGAAACGGGGAAGCUGGAGUAUCGGAGAGGAAAGUGGAAUUCCUAGUGUAGCGGUGAAAUGCGUAGAGAUUAGGAAGAACACCGGUGGCGAAGGCGACUUUCUGGACGAAAACUGACGCUGAGGCGCGAAAGCGUGGGGAGCAAACAGGAUUAGAUACCCGAGUAGUC